CCUACGGGGUGCAGCAGUGGGGAAUAUUGCACAAUGGGCGCAAGCCUGAUGCAGCCAUGCCGCGUGUAUGAAGAAGGCCUUCGGGUUGUAGAGUACUUCCAGCGGGGAGGAAGGCGAUAAGGUUAAUAACCUUGUCGAUUGACGUUACCCGCAGAAGAAGCACCGGCUAACUCCGUGCCAGCAGCCGCGGUAAUACGGAGGGUGCAAGCGUUAAUCGGAAUUACUGGGCGUAAAGCGCACGCAGGCGGUCUGUAAAGUCGGAUGUGAAAUCCACGGGCUCAACCUGGGAACUGCAUUAGAAACUGGCAGGCUGGAGUCUUGUAGAGGGGGGUAGAAUUCCAGGUGUAGCGGUGAAAUGCGUAGAGAUCUGGAGGAAUACCGGUGGCGAAGGCGGCCCCCUGGACAAAGACUGACGCUCAGGUGCGAAAGCGUGGGGAGCAAACAGGAUUAGAUACCCCUGUAGUC
RNAcentral lists this ribosomal RNA (465 nucleotides) under uncultured bacterium. Its description in RNAcentral is "bacterial SSU rRNA". It matches the Rfam family "Bacterial small subunit ribosomal RNA", at positions 338 to 795 of the family's 1533-position model. The record is from RNAcentral.